Molecule: non-coding RNA, 766 nt
Organism: Lepisosteus oculatus (spotted gar)
Lineage: Eukaryota; Metazoa; Chordata; Actinopteri; Semionotiformes; Lepisosteidae
Source: RefSeq, a predicted model, not a curated record
CUGGAAGGGAUGAGUGAGAUCGCCUCAGGGGUGAUGUAACUCAGGGUGCCUGCGCUGAUGCUGCUGAUCUGUGUGCUGUUCAGGGAAGCUGCAGGACAAAAUUCGACAGUGGAGAAAAAUGACAGGGUUCCUGAAAUUCAUUCCACCGCCCCAUAGGUCAUAGACCAGCAGUAUUUACUUGCAAAUUUAAUGAAAGCAUUUGAUCUCAGAUGUAUAUGGUGUGCACUGUCAAAGAAGAUAAUCUGUUCAUGUGAAUUUAAGGUACAUCCAUCCAUAAUCGGAAAGACAGUCCUGCAAAGGAUUGCUAGGACAGGGAGCCCAGAGAAAACCCAUUCAAACCCAGGUAGAACAUGCAAACUCCACACAGGAGGGCCCAGGGACCUAAGAACUGUGCUGCACCCAUUCGAGGUAAAAUCAAAGUCCACAGGCUGGGGUCUCCGUAGGCCUCCACAGCCUUUUCCUGCAGGGCCAGCAGCACCUCCGCGGGGCACUCGAGCUGGCCGAUUUCACGAGCCGCGGCACUGCGAGAGCAGCAGACACACGGGCGGUCAGUCCCUGCAGCCGCUGCCUCACUCCUCCAGCUUGUGCCUGGCCUGAUCUCCAGCUGUGUGCAGCAACCCACUUAACGCAUGAUCAGUGUUAAUUAAGAAGGCAGCGUCCGGGCAGCACAUGUAGGGCUACAGGUAUAGAAAUCUGUGCGCCAGACCAAAAGACUCACGUUGUUCAGCCAGUCCCUGUACUGCCCGAUGGAGGACAGGGUGUCGAU